UGUUCUGUUAUCACUUGUGUUUUACUGAAGGGAAAAGUUUUAACCUCGUUGAGGUACCUGAACACCUUAACCUAACCGAGGAUAGCACUGAGCGUUGUGGGGAUGGCUAACUAUUAGCUAACGUUAAUUAGCUAAAACUGGACAUGUUUGGUUAGCAAAACCAAGCUUUAUCGUAUCCAACCCAAGCUCAAGACCUCACCUGUUCAUCAGACACUCAGAACAACCGGUUAGCCAGUCCGGUCAGCCGAACUUUCUUGGAACUUCCACCAGCACCGUGAGAGACUGUACUGUUAGCCUAGCCACCCCAAGCUAACCCCCGUCGCCCCAGCAGCCCCGCCCGCGCUGCUGCUGCCGCCGCCGCUGCUGCAGAGAGAGAGAGCGAGGGAGAGAGACACUGACAGAGACAGAGCUUUCAGCAGAGUGAACUUCAGCCACAAAACUUACAUCCAGUCAGCAUGAUGCCUUUCUGAAUUGGAUUAAUUAAAAGGUUUGCUUUGAUGUGAAAGAGACUCCUGUUCCCCAGUUCCACCACAUCACAGAAAGAAGUGGGGGAGGGAAUGAAGAACAAGAAACAUUUGAAAAGAAUGAGAAAAAAAACAAUAGUGGUAGAACAAGAAGCAGAAGGUAAACAAGAAAAGAAGUACAGAUUCCAAAGGUGAUGCUUUAAAUGUUCUGCGUAAAGACAAUAUUCAUUAAGUUACACAUACAUAAGUAGUGUGUAAAGCAGGUGAAAUGCACAUUUAAUGCAACACUGGAUGGAGAUGUAGAGAACGCCAUUAAGAACCUCUACAACUAUAUACAAGAUAAAUGUGUAACUCGGUACAUAUUGACAUUUCUUGUUCCUGGUGACUUUUAUUUUCCAUCUGAAAAGAAUUGCAAUCCAAAACGUCUUUCAGUGUACAACAUUUUUUUUGUGUGUGUAUGUAGAACGAUUUCUUACAGAACCAUUUGAAUGUUUCAGU
Astyanax mexicanus (Mexican tetra) is the source of this 962-nucleotide long non-coding RNA. RefSeq lists it as uncharacterized. NCBI's taxonomy places the organism in Eukaryota, Metazoa, Chordata, Actinopteri, Characiformes, Acestrorhamphidae. The record is from RefSeq and is a predicted model, not a curated record. The transcript is spliced from 2 exons.